AUUUACUUAAAGAGACGGUAAAAACUAAACAAUUCAAAUCAUUAAAAUAGAGCUAAUGUAAACCCACAAAGCCUCAACUAGGCCCACUAAUCCAAAGCCUAGUCCAAAAGAAAAAUAAGUGGUGUCAUAGGUGCAAUAAUAAUGUACCAUUACAGCCGGACAAUGGAAUCAUCAUCAAUUUGCUGAAUUCACCCUUGCAACCACUACCGAAAACCCACCGGACUCCCUUGACUAAAACCCAUUCCUAAUGUCCCUCGCCAGAUCCUUUGCGAAAAGUCGCAAUUGAACAGAACAUGUUCUAAAUCCUCCUCUGCCAAAUGACACUUUUUUUAGUACCCAUCGAACAGGAAGAAUGUCAUGGAGACAUUUCCAAAGAAAAAAGGUCCAUUUAGUAGGGAUAUUAAACUUCCACAGAGAUUGGUUUUGUUGAGAUGGUGUCAUGUGGGGAAAUUUACAUUCCAACGCCCGCAAGUAGCCCGACUUAACAGAAUAUUCCCUGUUCUUAGUAUAUGCCCGAACUAAUUUGUCCUCACAAGGAUGUUGAGGAAUAUGAAAGAAAGAUCGAAUUAAUUAACAGAUUAUUGAGAAUCAAUAAAAUCAGAGAGUUUUAAAGAAACCCCUUUCCUCUUAACAGAUUAUUAACAGCCGGAAUGCACUGAUCCUCUAGAGGAUUAUUAAGAGAUCCAUCACUAACCCUCCAUUGAACCCCAGAAUAGAUAAAAUCACGCCCCCAAAUAAUACUCCGCCAACCCCAUGAAGAGUUUGCUCUAAGUUUCAUAUUUGAUGAUCAAGCUUCAUCUAUUGAUCAAACAAUUCAUCUUUAUGAUGAAAUUAUCCAGAUUGCAUCAUCUCAUCUCAUCAUGGUGUCAACCCAUUGCAAAAUUCCAUUACCCACAACAAUGAUUUAAAUGGCACUCAUUAUUUUGUUAAGUAACCAUCUCACUGAUUUGUUUGAAUCUCAGGUAUAGACUUUUGUGGUGGUUUUGAUCAAUUUGCUUAAUAAGGUGGCACCGGAUUGGUAACUCGAAUCCACUAUUAAUGAUAUUACUAACUUCUUAAAAUGUUUUGAUUAUGUUUGUCUCUAUAAGACUUCUAGAGCGGUUGUCAAGCUACUACCCCAUGAUUUGGUACGAUCUGUAUGUUCUGCUAGUUCUUAUUAAUAUAGUAAUGAUUUUAUUCUGCUCAAAAAUAAAUAAAUAAAAUAAUGUACCACCACAUCUGAUGUUCUUGUUGUUAUGUUUUCAUAAAUUAAAAUACAAAAAGUUGGUGGAAUAAUGAUCCAAAAAUGGUGGAGAGGAACAAAUGAAAUGAAAAUAUUUGAGACUCACAAAAGGCUCUUACAAUUUAACUCACAUUGAAGUAGUACGAUAAAUGUCAACUUUUAAUUAGUUACACACCUAAUGAUAAAAGGUCUAUCUUCCUUAAUGAUAAAAGGUCUAUCUUCCUUGCCACAUCGUUGUAGAUGAAUUUGUGGGUCUAAAAUGUGAAUUUCUAACAUUACUUUAAGUGAAAAUUGAGAUUUUUUUUGUUAUAUUCACUUUCCCAUAUUUUGUGCCUUCACAUAAACAAGGGCAACAGAGAGAAUCUUUGUUAGUUUCUUAAAUCAAAUACAAGCUACGCGUUCUAAUUUUCUAUUAUUUUAACCAUAAUAAGGUUGAAAAAAAAAAAAAGGAAAAAGAAAAUUAGUAAUAAAAUCCCUUACUAGUUGGCAAGAUCAUCUACAUAACAAAAUCAUAUAUUAAUGUUGUGUUUGGUUGGGGGAUUUGGAGAGGGAUUUGAAAAGGAAAAGAGAAAAUGUGUGUGAAACUAAGUGAAACAUAUGUAUGUUUUAUUCACAUUUCACCUAUCUUUUUCAUUUUCCUUUCCAAAUCCCUCCUCAAAUUCCCCAACCAAACACAGCAUAAGAUGAUUUUUUAACCACUAGUUUGUAUUUUCAACAUAAAAUACUUUCAGUGAUUAAACAGAACACACGUUACGUAAAAAUAAAAAAUAAAAAGUGCUUGAAAUUUGAAAUGUGUGGUGCAUGCACGUCGGCCACCCAAAAUAAUUUUCAUCCACACAUUUCAAAUAUUGAGUACUUUUCUGGAUAUUUUUCUCAUUAAACAGAACCCGUUGCAAAAUGCGCUACUGUAAAUGGAUGAAUAUACUCCACCUACUACACCUACCACCAAACCUACCAUCACCAACUCCACCUACUACACCUACCACCACCUACUCCACUACACCUACAUCUCCUAUAUAAGGAACCCCUCACCAUUUGUAAUAUAAAACAUACAUCAAUCAAUAAUACAUCAAUUUAUUUUACAUGGUAUCAGAGCAGGUUUAGAACCUAAUAUUUUCGCUUCACCGGCGGACGGCAACCUCACCUUAGUCGUCCGCCGGACCUCAACCUAGUCCGCUAGAAUUUUCUACACAUACCUUCAUCAUCAUCUUCAUCCAGCCCAUCCUGAAUAUGUUUAACUGGUGGUUUUGGUUUGACAGCAACAAUCAGCGAAUCUUCAUUAUUCAAUUCGACGAAUUCAUCUAAACCAUUUUUGUUGUCAUGCAACACAUUCCCUUGCAAAAUAAGCCUCAAAUUCUCAAUAGGUAAAUGAGCCUUCCCAGCAAUCAAUCUUCUCAGAUCCUGCACUUUGAUGAGAGAGGGGACAUUGAGGAGGAGAAGGACCGAUGGUUUUGAGAGAGAUUUGAACCAUUGUCUUGUCUUCUCCAUUGCCGCCAUGAUUCUUCUCGAUCUCAACCAUGGCGUCGUGGCUUGAAGAUCUUUCAGCUACACAGAUUUUCCAGCAAUGGCGUUCCAACUUCCUCAAGUCGGAUCUGACUCAGCCCAGCAAAUCAAGCUUCCACACCUUCACCGAGCUCCCGUCGUGAGCCAACACGCCUUCCGACAAACUCAGAUGGACGAUCGGAGCCGGGCCACGUGUCUCGUCAUCCUCGUCUUCGCAGAGAAGAGCUAUGCUUUCAAGAUCAACCCGACCGUCGUCCUCGUCAUGAGCCUCUGCUUCAUCGGCUUCGACACUUGCUCUCUUCUCUUCCUCUCUCUAGCUAGGUCUCUCACGAGAUACACCCAUCACCUCUCCCUCUCGGCAUACACACACAUAUGCAUGGCAGCUCUCUCCCUCUCGGCAACUCUCUCUUCCGGAAAACACACAGACAACCUCACCACCCACAAUUCAUCAACCUCUCUCUCUCUAUAGCUCUCUUUCGGGUUAGAGCACACAGCAGCACACACACGCAGAGGGAGGAUCACACAGGGGGACACAACACACACUGUCACUCUCUCUCUCUACUCAAGGCUACCCACCACUAUGUCCCCUUUUCAACCCAUCAUCCCCACCUUUUGCACACACCCAUACUCCUUUUUUAUUUUUAAACCAAUCUUCACCUUUUUCUUUUCAUCCACUUUACUUUUUCCACCACCACACACUACCAGCGCACAUGCUUUCCUUUCAUAUAUUAUUAUUAUUAUUAUUAUUAUUAUUAAAAAAAAAAAAAAAA
This is a non-coding RNA of Camellia sinensis, 3495 nucleotides long. Lineage: Eukaryota; Viridiplantae; Streptophyta; Magnoliopsida; Ericales; Theaceae. The record is from RefSeq and is a predicted model, not a curated record.